CAGGACGAACGCUGGCGGCGUGCCUUACACAUGCAAGUCGUGCGAGAACGGUUCCUUCGGGAACCUAGUAGAGCGGCGAACGGGUGAGUAAUACGUGAGCGACCUACCCGAGGGUGGGGGAUACCCCAGGGAAACCUGGACCAAUACCGCGUACAGCGCCGGGAGUGGAUGCCCGGCGUGAAAGCCGGCCUCUUCUAUGCUGGCGCCUUCGGAUGGGCUCGCGGCCUAUCAGCUUGUUGGUGGGGUAACGGCCUACCAAGGCUAUGACGGGUAGCUGACGUGAGAGCGUGAUCAGCCACAUUGGGACUGAGACACGGCCCAGACUCCUACGGGAGGCAGCAGUGGGGAAUAUUGCGCAAUGGGCGAAAGCCUGACGCAGCGACGCCGCGUGGGGGGAGGAAGGCCCUAGGGUCGUAAACCCCUGUCAGGUGGGACGAACACCCUGUCGGAUAAUACCCGGCGGGACUGACGGUACCACCAGAGGAAGCUCCGGCUAACUCCGUGCCAGCAGCCGCGGUAAUACGGAGGGAGCGAGCGUUGUUCGGAAUUACUGGGCGUAAAGGGCGCGUAGGCGGCCUCGUAAGUCGGGUGUGAAAGGCCGGGGCUCAACCCCGUGCACUGCACCCGAUACUGCCUGG
Molecule: ribosomal RNA, 638 nt
Filed under: uncultured bacterium
Lineage: Bacteria
Description: bacterial SSU rRNA
Rfam family: Bacterial small subunit ribosomal RNA
Source: RNAcentral